UACGUAGGGUGCGAGCGUUACUCGGAAUUACUGGGCGUAAAGCGUGCGCAGGCGGUCUUGUAAGCCAGAUGUGAAAGCCCCGGGCUCAACCUGGGAAUGGCAUUUGGGACUGCAAGGCUUGAGUGCGGCAGAGGAGACUGGAAUUCCUGGUGUAGCAGUGAAAUGCGUAGAUAUCAGGAGGAAUACCGAUGGCGAAGGCAGGUCUCUGGGCUGACACUGACGCUCAUGCACGAAAGCGUGGGGAGCAAACAGG
RNAcentral lists this ribosomal RNA (253 nucleotides) under uncultured bacterium. RNAcentral's name for it is "partial 16S ribosomal RNA". It matches the Rfam family "Bacterial small subunit ribosomal RNA", at positions 524 to 776 of the family's 1533-position model. The record is from RNAcentral.